GGUCAUCCUCACUGGGCAGGAGGUGCAGCUGGACCACACUGAACAUCCCGUAGCUGUCCUGGACAAGCACACACAACCUGGGAAAAGUCCUCUCAGUGAACCACACCAUACAGCAGUAGGACAGAAGGCUCUCCAGUGCUGACUAACAGAAGUCGGUCAGCAUGUGAUAAAGGAGACCUGACCAAGCCUGGUAUUUCCUGCUGGAGGUGUUCAUAUUUCACUGAGGAUCCAAAUGAUUUCAUCAAUCAAAAAAAAAAAAAAAAAAAAAAAAAAUGGAGGGGGAUUAUUUUCUUAAAGGACAGAAAUUGCAGUUUUCUAGACCAGGAGUAAAUAAAGUUCACAUUGAAGAUCUUUUAGUUCAUUAAUACACAUUUCUAAUGUUCUAUUCAGUAUUACAGCAUAUUUGCUACUGAUAAAUACUCAAUAGAACAUUAGACAUUAGAAAUGCUAAUCACAGCUAGGGAACAUGUGAGGCCAGUGUAAUGUUGUGAUUAAUAUGUACUCACUAAUAGUUUUGGAGAUCUAUAGCACAGUUUUUAAUAUUUUAAUUUUUAAAAAAGAAAGAAAUUAAUAAUUUAAAACCACAGUUACUAACGGCACAAAGCGUGGGUGAUUAAAAAAAAAAGCUGCAGUUUAUCAAAACAAGCCAGACAUCAACAAAUCAACAUCUGACCUUUCCUAAAAUAUAAAUACAGCUGGUAGAGUCUUGCUUGGUGUAAAUACACUUUUACUUUUCGUGGAGCAUGUUCAGUCUUGAAGCAUGAAACUUGAUAGGACACCUGACAGACUGGAGAGAAAAGGGUGACGGGACUUGUUGUGGUGCUGGCUUGUCAUAAACAACCCCCUUCCCCCUCUGUCAGUCCUUUUAGCCGUUCAAAGACCUACUUCCUCACUCCCCUCACUCCCACAAAAAAAAAAAAAAAAAGAAAAAAAAAGAAGAAGAAAAAAUAUCCUCAGUCACUGGCCAGUUUUAGUCACAGGCCAUUUUCAGGAAUUUGUUUUUGUGAGUGAUCACAGAAUUCUCAGCAACUCAGGUUUUCUUCCAGGAAGUGCAAUCCACUGGGUCUGUGCUUACACACAUAUAAACUCUUUCAGUCACACUGCGAACGAAUGGAAGACAGCGCACAUUCACAUUACUUGGAAAAACACCAAGUAAAAGUCCCACACAUUAAGAAUACAGCAGAGAGGCCUCAUUGGCGGGGGGCGGACAGGCGGGAUUCCUUCCUAUGCGCUGUCCACCAAUCACUGCAGGCAGCGUGAUAAACACGUUUGUAACAGGAUCCCUGCAGCACAUUGUGUUCCUGCUCAACUAAGAAAAAAAGAAGGAAAAAAAAAGAAAAAGAAAAAACAACCAGUCUCUCUUCACUUCCUGCAAACAGUUAAUCUCCUUGUUUAUUCCAUCCCAAAUUUACGGGAACUUAACAUCUUCUUCAGGCAUAAAUAUCAUACUGGCCUGUCUCCCUCGUGUUUUAACACAGUGGCUAAACAACAAAAGGAUCAAAUAAGCGCGCUGACCAGGCGAGUGAGUCAUAGAGGCCGGGGACACAACAUGAGAGGUACAAACUGUCCUCAUGUUUACACAGAAUGAGCCCAGUGGGCUGCGAAGUAAACUACACUGCUCUCCGCAAAGCAGCCAUGUAUUCUGGAGAAGUAACACAAGCAACAGAUUGUAGCACAUGAUGUCAUUUCUGAGCAGCAAUGCAAAGCAAAGACUCUCAUAAAAACACAUACAAGUGAUCAAAGUGAUGCAAAGCUUGCCCAUGUUAUCAAAAAUAAAUAAAUAGUAAUAAUAACAAUAAAUUAAAUUCAGGAAUGGCUGGGCAACAAAAUAAACUUUGUGUACCAUGUUCACAUCUGUCACAAUAAAGGCGGCUGAGUCAUCCUGAUAUUCUAAACUUAAACCCUUGUGAUCGACUGCUAACCUCGGCCCCACCUUCAUCCUUUCACUACAAACCCGAGGCUGCUGAAUCUGGUCGAGCCAGAGAGAAACUGAGGAAAGGGUAAGAGUGUUUCCGGUCAGAGGGCAGCUCAUUUGUUUACCAGCCACAGAAGCAGCAUGGCAGGAGUGUCAUGUUACAACCGCAGCUCAUGUAGUCAGUUAGCCUGUCAGCUGACCGGGGGUCUCCUCCCCUUACCGCCGAUGGUCCCUCGGGUCCCUCCGCUUGGAGAAACCGCUGCUUUUAUUACUCAGCAAAAGGACAAAAACAACACGCCUGGGGAAGGCCAAGGCAACUAAAGGUCAUACUUACUGGAUUUGCUUCAAAUGUAGCACUUACUGAUUUGUUAACUACUACAAGAUCACACAAACAAAUCAUUUCAGUAAGACUGGAAGAUUUUUGAUAAUUUAGCAUAUAUGAAACAACAAAAAACAAAUCUUCUUGUAUCUGCAGUGGAAACAAACCUGCAUUUUAUGUGUGGCAAAUCCACAGAUUCAUUACUCAUCCCUGGUAGUUAACCACAGCUCUACUGAGCAUUCGAGCAUGUUUCAUUUCAUUGCAACUUCACUGUUUUGGUUCAGUCUCGGCGCUCUCAUCUGCGUCAUUUGCUGCCGCACUCGUAUGCAGCGCUACAUACAAAGCAGGACAUUUGGUAACUGAGGAGACAAAUAUUUACCUCAGGCAUUGUUGGAAACAAAAACAAAGCUUGAAGGAUUUUUAUUUUUAAUUUUUUUUAUUUUAUGGGUGGCUUCAAACACGUCUACAAAGAAAAGCUAGUAGACGUGAGACUCAGAGCGGCUACCACUUGGUCAUGGCUGAAGGAGAGACCUGUACCUCGCUCACAUGACGUACUGGUGAUGCUCAGCAAAGUGGAAAUGAACAAUUUGGUGAAUGAAUCAGAAUCAAACGGGAAAGAAAAGCUACUUCCCAUCCUUAGUGGACAAGUGUUAUGCUCCCAUAAUCCUGUUUACACCAAAUAAACUUUAAUGAGCAAAUGACUCAGUCUACGGAAAGAUGAUCCAUACUGUCAGAGGAUCAUAAACAUGUAAAAAGUCUCGAGCCAGACCAUGAAAUACUUACAAAACGUAAUCAGAUUUAUGUUCCUGGAACUUGAUUUCUCCCUUUCUUCAUUUACUAUUUUAUUGUUGGUGUCAUAGCUAAUCAUUCACAUCCAGCUACACAAAGUGAUGCUGUUCCAGGUCUAAAAGGACAAAAUAUGUCCAUAUUUUUGGAGCCUGGUCGGGGUGACGUAAGUAAUUACUCCUCUCAUACCAGAGACCGCAGCUCACCUCCCACACAGAACGGAUCAUUUUUAUACUUUCUUUGGAAUUACUUUAACACUUCAGUUGCUUUUUUUUUUCUCAAAUUCUUUCUUUGAUUGAGUUUAGACAAUCAAACUACUUGAUUAGGUUAGAAAAGGCUAAUGAUUACAUUGAACACAAGAACACAAAGCUGAAACUUCAUCAACAAGUGCCCUUGGUAUAUUACAGUACAAACUCAAUACAGACUUUUCAAAUUAAAAGCAGUCCAGUUAAUUGGCUUUUAUCGUGAAAUAUUUGUAGUCAUAUCUUAAGAGUGUGAAAAAAACCCCAAAACCGAGCGAGUCUCUGAAUGUAAAAAUCUGUUCGAUUUAUGUAAAAGUGUAACUAACUGGUUAUUAGCCAGCAAAAUAGUUGUCUACAAUGUCAUAGGUGUGUGACCCUGCAGAGCCCCGGAGGGCAAACCGCCAUUCAAAUACACUUCACAGUAGAAGAGCCCAAGGUUGUCAGUUUCCCAUCGUUUUCACAGAUCACAAAUAUUAGAAUAACAACUCGGAAGUGGAAAUACAAAGACAUGUGAACAAACUGUAAGUUCUGGGCCCUUACGAACCACAUACAACCCUUCUGUAGCAUUACAAUGACUAAAAACAGCAAAUAUCUGCCAGAGAAACAGUUUCACAAUGAUUAAGAUAUAUCCUGUAAAUGAUAUACCUACAAAAAAAAGUAAGGACAGCUAUAUGCAUUUUCAGGUAGGAUGGGUCAGUAACGCUGCCAUUUGGGAGUGAAUUACAAGGGAGAAGAAAUUCCUCACCUGAGCCAAUUAGGUGCAUUAUUUAUUUAUUUUUCUGGCAGUUUUAGGGCUCAGUCUUAUUUAUCACUGAGGGCAGACAGGACCUGGAGCUUGGCAGCCGGAUUACAGUUGUACUAGUCUGUCAUUGUGAUGAAGGAAAGUCUAUCCAGAGGCUUACUCUUACCCACAGCCAUGAGCUUGUGACUAAAGGGAUCACACACAGGACUCAGGCCUGAUUUAGACAGUGAGGAAUCUUUGUAGAGCCUACGGCAUAACAUGCACAAUUUGCCAACAUCUUUGUCGGCAUUGACGCUUGUGCAUUAUGGGUUAUUUACUAUGUGGUGGUGUCCCGAUGACUUAGAAACAAAUAAAAUGCUGGAACUUUUUCCAUCCUGGGUACCCAUUCUUUGUUAGGGUUAUUUGUUUGUGGGGCGGAGCUAAAGUUUUUUUAGUGAUUUGUAGCUUGCCUCACGUCCAAUGUGAUAUUCGCUCCAGGAAUUUGCUGACAUUUGUGAGUCCUAAAAUUGAUGCUAUAAUUAUGAUUCCUUAUUAUUAAGGCCAUGAUUGUUAUUUUGUCACUGAUAAAUUUAAAAACUGUGUUGACAGAGGAGCCUGAAAUAUACAGGACAAGAGGAAUCAAUGAUACUAAUGGGGCCCAUCACAACAGUCGCGGGCAGCAUCGAUCAAUGUGUAAUUACAUUUCUUGGGUGCAGGACGUCAGAGAAACAUGGGUUUGUGGGGUUUGUGGUUGCAACAUAAUAGGACAUAGAUUUCCUUCUGAAGGAAAAAUCCCCAGUCAGAAAAGGAAUCCCUGCACCUUUCUGGUGAAAAAAAGCCAGAAAACGUGGUGCAGGUAUCUGACCAGGUUGUUGCCUGAAUGCCUCCCUAGGGGGAAACAUGGCAAACUGGGUUAUACUGUGCAACUCUUCUGGCCAAUGAAUGCUAGAGGAAACAUCUGAGACCGGGAUACUGGCUAUUUUACUGAAACGGCAGAGUCCAUAAGCAGAUUCUGAAUGACUGACAGACGACACACGGUGUAACAGUUAAUGUUUUUUCUUUAUAAAAUACAAAUCGAUAAAAUGAUUCUUAAAUUAUUUGCUGAUUAAAUGAAGCAAAACCAAAUCGGCCUCAUUUGCAUUUUCUGCAGUACCAAGAGGAAUUAUGUUUUAACAUGUGAAGGAAACACACUCUGGUUUCCCCUUAUUAAGGUAAGAAAAAAAACUGCUACAAAGCUGCUCCACCCAGAGGAGUGCGAAUGGGCAACAAUUCAACUCAGACUUGCUGGUGCACGAGAGUCUGAAAACAUCAUGCUGUCUUUCCUGAGAAUUGGCCAGAACCAUUCACAGAGGGGCUGGAUUCAAUUAGAAAUGUUUGUGUCCUUUGUCAAGCAAUGCCAUAUGGCUGGAGACAGCGUGAGCACUUUGUGGGGCCUGCUGUGCUGUGAACAAUAGCUCGACCGCUGAGACACAUCGUGCCACCGAGGAGAAGCAUGCAAAGCCCGAGAGCAAAGAAACUAGCAUGAAAUUUGAACAAAAAGAAUAAUCUCAAUUGUGGCAGAGCUCUCACAGCAGAUAAAAUACGAUUCAUUUUUCCCAGCUGUUUCUGGCUUCAAGUGACAAACCAAAAGGCCUCCCUGGGAUCCCAAUUAUGA
Molecule: long non-coding RNA, 5637 nt
Organism: Oreochromis niloticus (Nile tilapia)
Lineage: Eukaryota; Metazoa; Chordata; Actinopteri; Cichliformes; Cichlidae
Exons: 3
Source: RefSeq, a predicted model, not a curated record